RNAcentral lists this long non-coding RNA (2683 nucleotides) under Nicotiana benthamiana. RNAcentral's name for it is "long non-coding RNA (NBEN_LNC036221)". The record is from RNAcentral. Lineage: Eukaryota; Viridiplantae; Streptophyta; Magnoliopsida; Solanales; Solanaceae.
UCCAAAAAUUCUCCAAAACCUAGAGACAACACUUCAUUUCCCCUCUUCUUCAUCUUUAAACUAACCCGAGUCACCAAUAUUCCUAAACCACCUUUGGUUGGCGGCCACCACACUAAACCACCCCAAACCCUUCACCCCACAAUCUCCAUUUCCUCCUCAUCCUAUAUCCUCUGUUAAUCUUCUCCAAAGCACCUUAAAAUUGCCUGAUUUUAAAAUCUAAAAUGGCUAUUGACAAGCAAGACUUUCGCAAACCGGUCCUCUAGCUUUCUUUAAACUAAAACCUUUUACUCUUCAUGGAUUUCUGACUUGCGAGGUAUUUGCCAGACGAAGCAUCGAAAAAAUACUCGUUCGCCAAAAAUGCUAGGCAAAUUGAAGAAGUGGAUUCAAGAAGCUUCUUGUCUUAAUUUCUGGUUUGAUUUUUAGACGUCCUCUCCUCUUUUGGAAUGUUUGGUUCUAGUAGGUAAUCUUUUAUUUUACCUUUUCUAACUUUCUCUAUUUAUUUACAAUUCAACAAUUUAGUUCUAUUUUUUAGUUUUGCAUGUGUUCGAGUUGCUUUAGAUAUUGCCUUAAAAAAGCAUUUAAUUCUUUUUUAUUUGUUGCGUGGAUUUCCAAAUUCAUGGUUCAUUUUUUUAAAGAAAAAAGCAAUUGAUAGGUUGUGGACUCUAGACUGAGCUAGUCCAAUCCGGUGUAGGUUUAAAAGCUAACUACUGGAAGCCCACUGCAGAAAGUUAAUAAAAACAAACAAAAGGAAUUUGUAAUUAUCUGGAGUUUAGAGGGUAUUGAGGGAUUUUAACUUGACAAACCUUUUCAGUUACAACAAUAAUAAGCUUCUAGAGGAAAGAAAAGGGUUGUCUCUGUAAAAAGAAACAAAAAACGGCUCUAUUUUGGGGACCUAGGAGUCAAACACAAAAUUUUAAAGGGUAGGAAUGAAUUAGGAAAAUCAAGUAUUGUUGCCCUAAAUUCCUGCUAUAAAAGUCUCGUUCACUCAUUUGUUUAGAGAUCUUGGACAUAAAAGUCACGGUUGCUAGAAAUUAGGUUUUCUUUGAAAUAUAAAGUUCAAUAGUGGUUUAAAACAGUCAAAAUCAGAGAUAUAGUCAAAUAAAUAAAGAAAGAUUAAAAGCUGGUACUAAUCUAUUGGGAUUCUUGCAUAAUUUCUGGGUUAAAAAGCUGGUGUGAUUUGAGAAAAUUUUUUGGUUCCAUUGCUGCUUAUGCUAUGUUGUUUAAGCUUGGUUGAGCUCCAGAUUUUAUUAUUUUGACCUUUAUUUGGUCUUCUUUCUGCUAUUCUUCUUUUUUCUUCCUUGAGGUAUGUGACUGCACUUUUAUAUUUAUCUAUUGAAUAAAAUUUCUUGUUUAAUCCAUGUUUGAAUAUAUGUAUUUGUUUGUGAUAAGUAUUAGAUUUUGACUACAUGUGUUAGUUUUUCCAUAUUUGUUCCCAUAUGUCCUAAAUUAUUGUUUUUUAUUGUUUAUGCCAUAAUUUGGUUUGAUCCAGUAUGUUGUUCAUAAUUCUUUGUUUCUUAGUCUUCGAUGUUAUUCAUAGUGAUGUUGUCUUUGCUGAGUGAUAUAUAUUUGAGAGAUGAUAUUUUAGGUUGAAGCGAUACAAAGGACGUAAAUCUGACUACCAAUUGGUCAGAUUCACUCCUGAAAAGCAUGAGUGCAAUUAAUUUUGGCUACAAAAGGUUGAAGUGUGUUGGUUCUAGUGCUAGAAGUAGCAUCUAAUUCUAUGGUUGAUUAAGAAUAAAUCAAAGUUGAAGGUUGUAAUGGAUAAAGUCGUGUUUUGUUGAUGUAAUUGGAUAUAUUUUGUUUAAGCUAUGAUUGUAAUGACCCGACCGGUCAUUUUGAGUUUUUACACCUGGCUCGUCAAUUCUCAGGCAUGACUUGCCCGUAUGAUGUAUUAUGACUUGUGUAAAUUGUUGGUUUUGAUUUUCAGGAUAAUCGAAAUCAAUUUGGAAGAACAUGUCUCAGUUUGAAGCUUGAAAUUUGAAAAGUUUGACAAAGAUUUGACUUGUUAGUAUAUGAUAUCUAAUCGGAAAUUUUAUGAUGUGGUUAGCUCCGUUAGGUGAUUUGGACUUAGGAGCGUGAUCGGAAUGCAUUUUAGAAGUAUGUGGAAGAUUUAGGCUUGAAUUGGCAAAAUUGAGAUUUUGGCGUUUUUCGUUUGAUAGGCGAGAUUUUAAUACAGGGGUCGGAAUGGAAUUCCGGAAAUUACAGUAGCUCCGUUCUGUCAUUUGUGACGCAUGUGCAAAAUUUCUAGAUAAGUUGAGUUGAGAUCCCGUUAUUUUGGGUCAAUUUCAUGGGUUGCAUUUAGGUUGCUUAAUGGGUCAAAUAGACUAUAAAAAAUAAUGUAUUAACUUGGGUUCAACCAAAAUAGAUCACUAAAAAUUGCACGGAGUGACCUACUUGGUCGUCCCAUUUGACUAUAUCUUUUUUUAAAAAGUUUUAACCUGCACCCCACUUUUUAAAUAAAUUCAAAUAUCUUUCCCCCUUCUCCUCCUCCUUCUCAUUCUUCUUUGAGUGACAAUGGUUUUAUAUUGUGGUUGUAAAUAUAUUUAAUGUAGUUUAUGAUAUUUUACAGUGAUGAGCUGAUAUGACAUUUUAUUUUAUAUGAUUUCUUAGGUUUCUUCUUCUUUUUUUCUUAAUUGUAAAAUGGAUUCAUUAGAUUUAUUAUUCUUUUAAUAAAGUAACUAGU